Molecule: ribosomal RNA, 214 nt
Filed under: uncultured Klebsiella sp.
Lineage: Bacteria; Pseudomonadati; Pseudomonadota; Gammaproteobacteria; Enterobacterales; Enterobacteriaceae
Description: partial 16S ribosomal RNA
Rfam family: Bacterial small subunit ribosomal RNA
Source: RNAcentral
CGCCCGCCGCGCGCGGCGGGCUACGGGAGGCAGCAGUGGGGAAUAUUGCACAAUGGGCGCAAGCCUGAUGCAGCCAUGCCGCGUGUGUGAAGAAGGCCUUCGGGUUGUAAAGCACUUUCAGCGGGGAGGAAGGCGGUGAGGUUAAUAACCUUGUCGAUUGACGUUACCCGCAGAAGAAGCACCGGCUAACUCCGUGCCAGCAGCCGCGGUAAUA